This 520-nucleotide ribosomal RNA is filed under the name uncultured bacterium. RNAcentral describes it as "partial 16S ribosomal RNA". It matches the Rfam family "Bacterial small subunit ribosomal RNA", at positions 355 to 889 of the family's 1533-position model. The record is from RNAcentral.
UGGGGAAUAUUGGACAAUGGGCGCAAGCCUGAUCCAGCCAUGCCGCGUGAGUGAUGAAGGGCCUUAGGGUUGUAAAGCUCUUUCGCCGGUGAAGAUAAUGACGGUAACCGGAGAAGAAGCCCGCUAACUUCGUGCCAGCAGCCGCGGUAAUACGAAGGGGGCUAGCGUUGCUCGGAAUCACUGGGCGUAAAGCGCACGUAGGCGGAUCGUUAAGUCAGGGGUGAAAUCCUGGAGCUCAACUCCAGAACUGCCCUUGAUACUGGCGACCUCGAGUUCGAGAGAGGUUGGUGGAACUCCGAAGUGUAGAGGUGAAAUUCGUAGAUAUUCGGAAGAACACCAGUGGCGAAGGCGGCCAACUGGCUCGAUACUGACGCUGAGGUGCGAAAGCGUGGGGAGCAAAACAGGAUUAGAUACCCUGGUAGUCCACGCCGUAAAACGAUGGAUGCUAGCCGUUGGGGGGUUUGACCUCUCAGUGGCGCAGCUAACGCCUUAAAGCAUCCCGCCUGGGGAGUACGGUCGC